GCUCAGGAUGAACGCUAGCUACAGGCUUAACACAUGCAAGUCGAGGGGUAGCAGGGUAGCAAUACCGCUGACGACCGGCGCACGGGUGAGUAACACGUAUCCAACCUUCCCAUAACUCAGGGAUAGCCUUUCGAAAGAAAGAUUAAUACCUGAUAGUACUUAAGAAAGGCAUCUUUUUUAAGUUAAAGAUUUAUUGGUUAUGGAUGGGGAUGCGUUCCAUUAGAUAGUUGGUGAGGUAACGGCUCACCAAGUCUUCGAUGGAUAGGGGUUCUGAGAGGAAGGUCCCCCACAUUGGUACUGAGAUACGGACCAAACUCCUACGGGAGGCAGCAGUGAGGAAUAUUGGUCAAUGGGCGAGAGCCUGAACCAGCCAAGUAGCG
Molecule: ribosomal RNA, 380 nt
Filed under: uncultured Bacteroidales bacterium
Lineage: Bacteria; Pseudomonadati; Bacteroidota; Bacteroidia; Bacteroidales
Description: bacterial SSU rRNA
Rfam family: Bacterial small subunit ribosomal RNA
Source: RNAcentral